Molecule: ribosomal RNA, 491 nt
Filed under: uncultured bacterium
Lineage: Bacteria
Description: partial 16S ribosomal RNA
Rfam family: Bacterial small subunit ribosomal RNA
Source: RNAcentral
AGUGAACGCUGGCGGUAGGCCUAACACAUGCAAGUCGAACGGCAGCACAGUAAGAGCUUGCUCUUACGGGUGGCGAGUGGCGGACGGGUGAGGAAUACAUUGGAAUCUACUUUUUCGUGGGGGAUAACGUAGGGAAACUUACGCUAAUACCGCAUACGACCUACGGGUGAAAGCAGGGGAUCUUCGGACCUUGCGCGAUUGAAUGAGCCGAUGUCGGAUUAGCUAGUUGGCGGGGUAAAGGCCCACCAAGGCGACGAUCCGUAGCUGGUCUGAGAGGAUGAUCAGCCACACUGGAACUGAGACACGGUCCAGACUCCUACGGGAGGCAGCAGUGGGGAAUAUUGGACAAUGGGCGCAAGCCUGAUCAGCCAUACCGCGUGGGUGAAGAAGGCCUUCGGGUUGUAAAGCCCUUUUGUUGGGAAAGAAAAGCAGCAGGUUAAUACCCCGCUGUUCUGACGGUACCCAAAGAAUAAGCACCGGCUAACUUCGUG